This 73-nucleotide transfer RNA is filed under the name Rattus norvegicus (Norway rat). It matches the Rfam family "tRNA". Rfam says of the family: Transfer RNA (tRNA) molecules are approximately 80 nucleotides in length. Their secondary structure includes four short double-helical elements and three loops (D, anti-codon, and T loops). The record is from Rfam by way of RNAcentral. Lineage: Eukaryota; Metazoa; Chordata; Mammalia; Rodentia; Muridae.
GGAGAGGUGGCUCAGCCAGUAAGAGCACUGGCUGCUCUCAUAGUGGACCUGGGUUCAAAUCCCAGCAUCCACA